UUUUUUAGCAUGUUCAAGGAAUAAAAUCACAAAUCAACUAAAAUCAGUACUGAUUCCAGGCUUUUUUAGCCAAAAUCAGUAUUAAAAUCAUCCCAAAAUCAUCCCAAAAUCAGUAUUAAAAAUUAAAAGAUGUUUUUUUUAUAUUUUUAGAACCUUUUUCUGUCCAACAGAUCGCUGGAGAAUGGAGAUGGUUUGCAGCUCGCGUCUGGAGAUGGUGGCUCGCGUCUGGAGAUGGCUGCUGGUGGUGGCCGACGGGAAGAGGGGGAAGAGUGCUGGCCGACGGGAAGAGAGAAAAUCGUGGUUUUUUUUUUAAAUUUGGUUUUGGGUUUUUUUUUAAUUUUUUUUCAAUAAGGUAACGGGCAAG
RNAcentral lists this long non-coding RNA (364 nucleotides) under Zostera marina. Its description in RNAcentral is "long non-coding RNA (ZMAR_LNC001392)". The record is from RNAcentral. Lineage: Eukaryota; Viridiplantae; Streptophyta; Magnoliopsida; Alismatales; Zosteraceae.